Molecule: ribosomal RNA, 253 nt
Filed under: uncultured bacterium
Lineage: Bacteria
Description: partial 16S ribosomal RNA
Rfam family: Bacterial small subunit ribosomal RNA
Source: RNAcentral
UACGAAUUGUGCGAACGUUAUUCGGAAUCACUGGGCUUAAAGGGUGCGUAGGCGGCUAUGAAGGUCAGGUGUGAAAUCCCACGGCUCAACCGUGGAACUGCGCUUGAAACCGCAUGGCUUGAGGAAGUCAGAGGUAAGCGGAACUGAUGGUGGAGCGGUGAAAUGCGUUGAUAUUAUCAGGAACACCGGUGGCGAAAGCGGCUUACUGGGACUUUUCUGACGCUGAGGCACGAAAGCCAGGGGAGCGAACGGG